Molecule: ribosomal RNA, 410 nt
Filed under: uncultured microorganism
Description: bacterial SSU rRNA
Rfam family: Bacterial small subunit ribosomal RNA
Source: RNAcentral
CAGCAGCCGCGGUAAUACGGAGGGCGCUAGCGUUGUCUGGAUUCACUGGGCGUAAAGCGGGUGUAGGCGGUCGGGUAAGUCGGACGUGAAAGCCCGGGGCUCAAACCCGGAAGGGCGUCCGAAACUGCUCGACUUGAGGGCGGGAGAGGGAGGUGGAAUUCCUGGUGUAGCGGUGAAAUGCGUAGAUAUCAGGAGGAACACCAGUGGCGAAGGCGGCUUCCUGGCCUGUAACUGACGCUGAGGCACGAAAGCGUGGGGAGCAAACAGGAUUAGAUACCCUGGUAGUCCACGCUGUAAACGAUGGAUACUAGGUGGAGGGGGCGAUUUAGCCUUCUGUGCCGAAGUUAACGCAAUAAGUAUCCCGCCUGGGGAGUACGGCCGCAAGGUUGAAACUUAAAGGAAUUGGCGGG